GCCGAACUCUUUCUUCGUGCUUAACACAUGCAAGUUGAACGGAAAGGCCUCUUUCGGGGGGUACUCGAGUGGCGAACGGGUGAGUAACACGUGAGUAACCUGCCCUUGACUUUGGGAUAACUUCAGGAAACUGGGGCUAAUACCGGAUAGGAGCUCCUGCUGCAUGGUGGGGGUUGGAAAGUUUCGGCGGUUGGGGAUGGACUCGCGGCUUAUCAGCUUGUUGGUGGGGUAGUGGCUUACCAAGGCUUUGACGGGUAGCCGGCCUGAGAGGGUGACCGGCCACAUUGGGACUGAGAUACGGCCCAGACUCCUACGGGAGGCAGCAGUGGGGAAUAUUGCACAAUGGGUGGAAGCCUGAUGCAGCAACGCCGGGUGCGGGAUGACGGCCUUCGGGUUGUAAACCGCUUUCGCUCAUGACGAAGCUUUGUGUGACGGUAGUGGGUAAAGAAGCACCGGCUAACUACGUG
RNAcentral lists this ribosomal RNA (467 nucleotides) under uncultured bacterium. RNAcentral describes it as "partial 16S ribosomal RNA". It matches the Rfam family "Bacterial small subunit ribosomal RNA", at positions 28 to 507 of the family's 1533-position model. The record is from RNAcentral.